GAUGAACGCUGGCGGCGUGCCUAAUACAUGCAAGUCGAGCGAACGGACGAGAAGCUUGCUUCUCUGAUGUUAGCGGCGGACGGGUGAGUAACACGUGGAUAACCUACCUAUAAGACUGGGAUAACUUCGGGAAACCGGAGCUAAUACCGGAUAAUAUUUUGAACCGCAUGGUUCAAAAGUGAAAGACGGUCUUGCUGUCACUUAUAGAUGGAUCCGCGCUGCAUUAGCUAGUUGGUAAGGUAACGGCUUACCAAGGCAACGAUGCAUAGCCGACCUGAGAGGGUGAUCGGCCACACUGGAACUGAGACACGGUCCAGACUCCUACGGGAGGCAGCAGUAGGGAAUCUUCCGCAAUGGGCGAAAGCCUGACGGAGCAACGCCGCGUGAGUGAUGAAGGUCUUCGGAUCGUAAAACUCUGUUAUUAGGGAAGAACAUAUGUGUAGGUAACUGUGCACAUCUCGACGGUACCUAAUCAGAAAGCCACGGCUAACUACGUG
RNAcentral lists this ribosomal RNA (497 nucleotides) under uncultured bacterium. RNAcentral's name for it is "partial 16S ribosomal RNA". It matches the Rfam family "Bacterial small subunit ribosomal RNA", at positions 28 to 507 of the family's 1533-position model. The record is from RNAcentral.